Long non-coding RNA from Mastomys coucha (southern multimammate mouse), 413 nucleotides. RefSeq lists it as uncharacterized. The transcript has 2 exons. The record is from RefSeq and is a predicted model, not a curated record. NCBI's taxonomy places the organism in Eukaryota, Metazoa, Chordata, Mammalia, Rodentia, Muridae.
ACUCAGAUAGGAGCACCACCCAACCCUCAUGAGAAGCUUCUUGUAGUAGAUGGCAAUUAACACACAGAUCGACAACUGGACAAUGUGCGGAGUGAAAGAGCAUCACUCCUAAAUGCGAUGUCAUCAUCAAACCAUUUUCUUCAACACUUGGGGAUCUAUGUGGAAGAGGAGGCAGAAAUACUAUGGGAUGCGUGAGUCCAAGCAAGACAGCAACAUCUUUCAGACACAACAGGACUGAUGUACAUAUGAUAUCAGAGAGACAGUGAAGGCAUUCGCAAGACCAGUAUAGAUUCUAACCACAAAAAAAUGCCAAACUUCGAAGGGAAUAUAUGAUGUGACUAGCUGCUUGAGUUUGUGCCUUGACUUCUCCUUGUUGAUGGACAAUAAAUUGAAUAAACACUUUUCAUCACAAA